ACCAUAAUAAUUCCAAAAUCUCUAUAGGUAUGGGAGUCACUGGGAUUUAGCCAUGCAAAGGUAGCAUUUGGCAACGGAGGGACACAGGGGCUUGUGGACCAUGUUGGACUCAACUUAGUAUUUCACUGCUAUCUAAUGUGUUUUUGGCCACGUGUUGUAGCACAUUUUAGUCAAGCAUGGAGAUAUCCUCUUCUGCAAUAUACUGAGUUUUCGGCCAUGUUUUGUGGCAAAGAUUUAGUCAAGCAUGAAGAUAUCAUCUUCUUCAAUCAGGAUAUUAAUUUAACUAUUUACCACUACUACAGCGAUGAGUUUAGUAAUUUGUCACUCAGUAAUCUAUGAUAUAUGGGUCUAGUAUCCACAUGCAC
This 365-nucleotide long non-coding RNA is filed under the name Oryza brachyantha (malo sina). RNAcentral describes it as "long non-coding RNA (OBRA_LNC001178)". Lineage: Eukaryota; Viridiplantae; Streptophyta; Magnoliopsida; Poales; Poaceae. The record is from RNAcentral.